CGGAGCUCGCUCUGGUGGCGAGUGGCGAACGGGUGAGUAAUAUAUCGGAACGUACCCUGGAGUGGGGGAUAACGUAGCGAAAGUUACGCUAAUACCGCAUACGAUCUACGGAUGAAAGUGGGGGAUCGCAAGACCUCAUGCUCGUGGAGCGGCCGAUAUCUGAUUAGCUAGUUGGUAGGGUAAAAGCCUACCAAGGCAUCGAUCAGUAGCUGGUCUGAGAGGACGACCAGCCACACUGGAACUGAGACACGGUCCAGACUCCUACGGGAGGCAGCAGUGGGGAAUUUUGGACAAUGGGCGAAAGCCUGAUCCAGCAAUGCCGCGUGAGUGAAGAAGGCCUUCGGGUUGUAAAGCUCUUUUGUCAGGGAAGAAACGGUGAGGGCUAAUAUCCCUUGCUAAUGACGGUACCUGAAGAAUAAGCACCGGCUAACUACGUGCCAGCAGCCGCGGUAAUACGUAGGGUGCAAGCGUUAAUCGGAAUUACUGGGCGUAAAGCGUGCGCAGGCGGUUUUGUAAGUCUGAUGUG
Molecule: ribosomal RNA, 526 nt
Filed under: uncultured Janthinobacterium sp.
Lineage: Bacteria; Pseudomonadati; Pseudomonadota; Betaproteobacteria; Burkholderiales; Oxalobacteraceae
Description: bacterial SSU rRNA
Rfam family: Bacterial small subunit ribosomal RNA
Source: RNAcentral